AAGAAGUGUUUUCCGCUUCGGACCAUGCCUAAGUCCCUUGGAAAAGGGCAUCAUAGAGGGUGAUAAUCCCGUACAUGGCAUGGAGCGCCCGAAGCUUUGUGAUACGCUUUCUAAGAGUCGAGUUGUUUGGGAAUGCAGCUCAAAAUGGGUGGUAAAUGCCAUCUAAGGCUAAAUAUUGGGGAGAGACCGAUAGCGAACAAGUACAGUGAUGGAAAGAUGAAAAGAACUUUGAAAAGAGAGUUAAACAGUACGUGAAAUUGCCAAAAGGGAAGGGUAGGAGGUCAGAGAUGCGGCCUGGGAUUCAGCCUUGCUUUUGCUUGGUGUUUUUCCCAGAUUGCAGGCCAACGUCGGUUUUGGGCACUGGAGAAGGGUAGGAGGAACGUGGCACCUCUCGGGGUGUGUUAUAGCCUCCUACUGGAUACAGCGACCGAGACCGAGGACAGCAGCGUACUCGCAAGAGCGGGCCUUCGGGCACCUUUACGCUUAGGGCGUUGGCAUAAUGGCCCUCUACCACCCGUCUUG
This 522-nucleotide ribosomal RNA is filed under the name Moesziomyces rugulosus. Its description in RNAcentral is "eukaryotic LSU rRNA". It matches the Rfam family "Eukaryotic large subunit ribosomal RNA", at positions 151 to 656 of the family's 3401-position model. Lineage: Eukaryota; Fungi; Basidiomycota; Ustilaginomycetes; Ustilaginales; Ustilaginaceae. RNAcentral also lists the same sequence under 1 other name. The record is from RNAcentral.